This 268-nucleotide ribosomal RNA is filed under the name uncultured bacterium. Its description in RNAcentral is "partial 16S ribosomal RNA". It matches the Rfam family "Bacterial small subunit ribosomal RNA", at positions 29 to 289 of the family's 1533-position model. The record is from RNAcentral.
ACGAACGCUGGCGGCGUGCCUAACACAUGCAAGUCGAACGGAGUAUAUUUUCUAGCUUGCUAGCGGAUAUACUUAGUGGCGCACGGGUGAGUAACACGUGGGCAAUCUACCCGGAAGACUGGGAUAACAGUGCGAAAGUGCUGCUAAUACCGGAUAUUUUCACGAAGCCGCAUGACUUUGUGCAGAAAGUUUUUCGCUUCCGGAUGAGCCCGCGUCCCAUUAGCUAGUUGGUGAGGUAACGGCUCACAAAGGCGACGAUGGGUAGCUG